RNAcentral lists this ribosomal RNA (257 nucleotides) under uncultured bacterium. RNAcentral's name for it is "partial small subunit ribosomal RNA". It matches the Rfam family "Bacterial small subunit ribosomal RNA", at positions 26 to 286 of the family's 1533-position model. The record is from RNAcentral.
AGGACGAACGCUGGCGGCGUGCUUAACACAUGCAAGUCGAGCGGUAAGGCUCCUUCGGGAGUACACGAGCGGCGAACGGGUGAGUAACACGUGAGGAACCUGCCCUGGACUUUGGGAUAACCCUCGGAAACGGGGGCUAAUACCGAAUACGACUACUGGCCGCAUGGUUGGUGGUGGAAAGUUUUUCGGUCUGGGAUGGUCUCGCGGCCUAUCAGCUUGUUGGUGGGGUAAUGGCCUACCAAGGCGACGACGGGUAG